GUGAUCUGGCAGAAACUGAGGUAGCCCAGGGCAACCACCAGGCAGUACCUGUGAACACAGAGUUCAGGGAUCUUUAAUGUGGAUUUAUUCACUUGUCAUAAUGCAUUAGCAUAACAUUAGCAAUUCACUACAAUUUAUUAUCAGAUCACUUCCAGAAUUCAAGUCCAUAUGCAUAGCCCUACUUCUAAUAGCAGGACCCCAGAGCUUAAUACAUAACUUCACUGGCAUUGUUGAAGAAUUAUGUAUCAUCUGUCUAAAUUCAUGCUUCAUGCAGUAGCAGGUCCCACGAAGCUACUGGGGGAAAAGACACAUGGAGCUGAGGAAAAUGUAAAGGGCAUUUCACCAUAGACUAGUGAUAUGUCCUCCAUUCAACACAUGUAGUGGUGGGUAUUACCUGAAUGGACACAAGUCUAUGUAUUUGUUUGGGUGUUGUUUGUAUUUGAGUUUGGGUGUGCAGUGGCCUUGAGUGUGUACGUGCACGAGUGCUCACACAUGGUUAAGUACUACUUUUACUUUAGGCCUAUAGAUAAUGAGCUUACAGGCACUGAUCACAAAAGCCACACAAAUCCACAUACCCCUUUAACUAGAGCCGUUAACACCCUUGGGUGAAACCUAUAGGCCCCACAAGAAGCAGGCCCCUCAGUGUAAACGACCAGAGUUAUAUCAUGGAAGUCGCUCAGACUCAGACCCAUUACUUGGCUUCAGUGCAUACUGGCUCUCAAAAGCUUUGUUACCAGGACAGGACCACAGCUAAAUCAUAAAUCACACUGUAAGAAUAAAACUGAUGGUUCUGUGAAUAUAUUGGCCAUUGGGUUCUUGUCUAACAGCAUCAACACAGAAGAAGCAAUGUGUAGGUACACAUUCCUGCAGUCUUACAGUCAGUCUACUUAAGAGCUCCUUCAACACAUCUUCAAGCAUGGUCUCCACGCCCAUAUUGAUAACUUGGUGACCCUCGUCUGUGUGUUGGCAUCGGGGUUUAAGCUGUGGUUUUGAUUGGCCAUUAAGAGUUCUGUUGGCCUUGUAUGGAACUCUGGCUCUCCUCGAUUUCAGUGGUGUGGCUGGACACGGGCAAAAGGGGUGAUGUUAACUUUGAGGGAGAGUCUGAUGGAGAUGGA
Long non-coding RNA from Alosa sapidissima (American shad), 1115 nucleotides. RefSeq lists it as uncharacterized. The record is from RefSeq and is a predicted model, not a curated record. The transcript is spliced from 3 exons. Lineage: Eukaryota; Metazoa; Chordata; Actinopteri; Clupeiformes; Clupeidae.